This 500-nucleotide ribosomal RNA is filed under the name uncultured bacterium. Its description in RNAcentral is "partial 16S ribosomal RNA". It matches the Rfam family "Bacterial small subunit ribosomal RNA", at positions 29 to 523 of the family's 1533-position model. The record is from RNAcentral.
AUUGAACGCUGGCGGCAUGCCUUACACAUGCAAGUCGAACGGCAGCACGGGUGCUUGCACCUGGUGGCGAGUGGCGAACGGGUGAGUAAUACAUCGGAACGUACCUUAUCGUGGGGGAUAACGCAGCGAAAGCUGUGCUAAUACCGCAUAAGCCCUGAGGGGGAAAGCGGGGGUCGAAAGACCUCGCGCGAUUAGAGCGGCCGAUGCCUGAUUAGCUUGUUGGUGGGGUAAAAGCCCACCAAGGCGACGAUCAGUAGCUGGUCUGAGAGGACGAUCAGCCACACUGGGACUGAGACACGGCCCAGACUCCUACGGGAGGCAGCAGUGGGGAAUUUUGGACAAUGGGGGCAACCCUGAUCCAGCAAUGCCGCGUGAGUGAAGAAGGCCUUCGGGUUGUAAAGCUCUUUUGUCAGGGAAGAAACACCGGCUCUAACACAGUCCGGGAAUGACGGUACCUGAAGAAUAAGCACCGGCUAACUACGUGCCAGCAGCCGCCGUAA